RNAcentral lists this ribosomal RNA (492 nucleotides) under uncultured bacterium. RNAcentral describes it as "partial 16S ribosomal RNA". It matches the Rfam family "Bacterial small subunit ribosomal RNA", at positions 29 to 507 of the family's 1533-position model. The record is from RNAcentral.
AGUGAACGCUGGCGGUAGGCCUAACACAUGCAAGUCGAACGGCAGCACAGUAAGAGCUUGCUCUUACGGGUGGCGAGUGGCGGACGGGUGAGGAAUACAUCGGAAUCUACUUUUUCGUGGGGGAUAACGUAGGGAAACUUACUCUAAUACCGCAUACGACCUACGGGUGAAUGCAGGGGAUCUUCGGAACUUCAUCGAUUGAAUGAGCCGAUGUCGGAUUAGCUAGUUGGCGGGGUAAAGGGCCACCAAGGCGACGAUCCGUAGCUGGUCUGAGAGGAUGAUGAGCCACACUGGAACUGAGACACGGUCCAGACUCCUACGGGAGGCACAAGUGGGGAAUAUUGGAAAAUGGGCGCAGUCCUGCUCCAGCCAUACCGCGUGGGUGAAGAAGGCCUUCGGGUGGUAAAGCCCUUUUGUUGGGAAAGAAAAGCAGCAGGUUAAUACCCCGCUGUUCUGACGGUACCCAAAGAAUAAGCACCGGCUAACUUCGUG